RNAcentral lists this ribosomal RNA (207 nucleotides) under uncultured bacterium. RNAcentral's name for it is "partial 16S ribosomal RNA". It matches the Rfam family "Bacterial small subunit ribosomal RNA", at positions 568 to 774 of the family's 1533-position model. The record is from RNAcentral.
CGCGCAGGCGGCUUUUUAAGUCAGGCGUGAAAGCCCGAGGCUAAACCUCGGAAGUGCGUUUGAUACUGAAAAGCUUGAGUACGGGAGAGGGAAGUGGAAUUCCUGGUGUAGAGGUGAAAUUCGUAGAUAUCAGGAGGAACACCGGUGGCGAAGGCGACUUCCUGGACCGAUACUGACGCUGAGGCGCGAAAGCGUGGGGAGCAAACA